Molecule: long non-coding RNA, 1206 nt
Organism: Bubalus bubalis (water buffalo)
Lineage: Eukaryota; Metazoa; Chordata; Mammalia; Artiodactyla; Bovidae
Exons: 4
Source: RefSeq, a predicted model, not a curated record
GAAGAACCUUCCCGGGCGGAGAGGUGCUGAGGCAGGCCAGGCUCUGAUCCCCUACGCCAGCCGGGCGGUCCAAAGGGAGGUAAUUAGGAGCAACGAGCUGAAACUGCGGAAAGGAAAAAAGGUGGAAGCUGAGGCUUGAGAGAUCAAGAACUUCCUCAAGAUCAUGCUGCUAGAAUGUGGCAGAACCAUCACUGAAAUUCAGGCCUGUUUAGGGAAAAUGAACUGCUGAGAGGUCUCGCUGGUUCCUGUGUCUCCCUAGUGAGAGGACAGUCACAUCAGAUGCAGAAGAGCAAGCUCCCGCUGCCUCCCCAUUUACCCAUGUGCCAAGAUGUAUCUGUGUGGCUGAAUGUUCCAAGAUUCUGCUGCUUCUGGCUGAACCGACUUCGUCAAAUGAGACCAUUGAACUGUGAAAAGACAAUGUUAACUUAGUAGCAUGGUUCCCUGAGAGUUUUCCUCUCCAUUCCAAUCCUGCCCACCUCUUCCAACUAUCCCGAAAUAAUAUGGCUUUGAGCCUUCUUGUGGUCUAGCCACUCUUCUCUGAGCCUGCUAUGACUUUUCUCUGCUCACUGAUCUGGGUUUCUGAGAGCAGCAUCUAUGCCUGGAGAGUCCUUCCCAUUUGCCAGAUGUGGAAAUGAAGUUUUGUAGCUGAGAAAUGGUGUAAGGACUUCAGCACUAAGAAAAUAGAAGCCACAAGGUGAGACCCAAGAUUCCACAUGUGCCCAGGGUAGACCCUUGCCUCAGUUUUCAUGGGCACAGUAGAGUAAUGGUUAAGAACUUAGGCUCUUAGAUCUGAUAUAUGUAGUUUUGCCUUCUAGUUCUCCUUCCUGCUGGUUACGUGAGUUUGUAUCAAUUGCUUAGCUAUUCUGAGCUGCAUUUCCCCCCAUUAUAAAAUGGUGAUAAUCAUAACACUAAUUUCAAAAUUAUAUUUUUAGUAUUAGAUGCAAUACUCUAUUACCUUUUGGCAUAAAGCCUGGCACAGAGUGGGUCUUUGGUAAAUAUUGGCUAUAAUUUUAAGCUUAAAUUCAUACAAACCCAGAUUGUCACAAAAAAUGAACCAUGUGUGAUUAUUUACACUGCAAAAGAUGAUAAAAUAGUUUUCUUUUGAUAGCAGUUUUUCUAGCAUACUUGCGAUGUGCUUUGUGUGUCUGCUCUCCGUCGCUUCAGCCGUGUCUGACUCUGUGCGACCCCAUGGACUGAAACAUACAC